This 714-nucleotide ribosomal RNA is filed under the name Pseudomonas sp. Its description in RNAcentral is "bacterial SSU rRNA". It matches the Rfam family "Bacterial small subunit ribosomal RNA", at positions 24 to 733 of the family's 1533-position model. Lineage: Bacteria; Pseudomonadati; Pseudomonadota; Gammaproteobacteria; Pseudomonadales; Pseudomonadaceae. The record is from RNAcentral.
UCAGAUUGAACGCUGGCGGCAGGCCUAACACAUGCAAGUCGAGCGGAUGAGGGUAGCUUGCUACCUGAUUCAGCGGCGGACGGGUGAGUAAUGCCUAGGAAUCUGCCCGAUAGUGGGGGAUAACGUUCCGAAAGGAACGCUAAUACCGCAUACGUCCUACGGGAGAAAGCGGGGGAUCUUCGGACCUCGCGCUAUCGGAUGAGCCUAGGUCGGAUUAGCUAGUUGGUGAGGUAAAGGCUCACCAAGGCGACGAUCCGUAGCUGGUCUGAGAGGAUGAUCAGCCACACUGGAACUGAGACACGGUCCAGACUCCUACGGGAGGCAGCAGUGGGGAAUAUUGGACAAUGGGCGAAAGCCUGAUCCAGCCAUGCCGCGUGUGUGAAGAAGGUCUUCGGAUUGUAAAGCACUUUAAGUUGGGAGGAAGGGUUGUAACCUAAUACGUUGCAACUUUGACGUUACCGACAGAAUAAGCACCGGCUAACUUCGUGCCAGCAGCCGCGGUAAUACGAAGGGUGCAAGCGUUAAUCGGAAUUACUGGGCGUAAAGCGCGCGUAGGUGGUUUGAUAAGUUGGAUGUGAAAGCCCCGGGCUCAACCUGGGAAUUGCAUCCAAAACUGUCUGACUAGAGUACGGUAGAGGGUAGUGGAAUUUCCUGUGUAGCGGUGAAAUGCGUAGAUAUAGGAAGGAACACCAGUGGCGAAGGCGACUACCUGGA